UGAGAAUAAUUGCUGGGGCUAUGCGU
Molecule: small RNA, 26 nt
Filed under: Bombyx mori (domestic silkworm)
Lineage: Eukaryota; Metazoa; Arthropoda; Insecta; Lepidoptera; Bombycidae
Description: piRNA piR-bmo-2202567
Source: RNAcentral